Molecule: long non-coding RNA, 1755 nt
Filed under: Bemisia tabaci
Lineage: Eukaryota; Metazoa; Arthropoda; Insecta; Hemiptera; Aleyrodidae
Description: lncRNA ENSASIAIIG003753
Source: RNAcentral
UAACCAGCCUUUUGCAACGACUAUUGCCGCACAGCAUAUUGAAGGCUCGUUGAAAGGAUGCUGAUAGUUUAUAUUCUAGCAAAAUUUCAUUGCUUGUAGUAUCAAUUUAUGGAAGGGAAGUUUGAAAUGUGAAGCUUUUCUGAAACUUCUGUCUCUGCUAAGCUAACAUCGUACCGUUUUUCAUAUAGUUUCCUUUGUCAGUGAAGUCGUAGCCUGUGCAUGAACCUCAGCCACAGCCACACAACCCUUCCUCCCCCAUCCCCCAAUAAAAACGCUCCCCCGCCCGCCUGUAGGCGUCUGGCGGGUGUUCAAAACCCCGCCAUUUUCAGUUGACCAAUCACGAAUGGGUUAUUUUAAGAGCCCGCCGAUAUUCUAAUAUUCAUACGCGUUGUGAUAACCGUGCAUUUCUCGGAAAAAGGAACAAUUCAUCCUGUUAAACUUUUUAUUUAUUCUUAUUUUAGUUAAAAUAACGUUAAUUAUUUAUUAAAAUGCGAUGAUUAAAUGUUACUCAAGUUCUUUUUCCCCUCUCAAGUAAGAACUAUUUUGUGUCCGCGCAACUCGGAGGACUUCAAAAAUGACCGUUAGGUUCUGCAAGCAACGCAUCAGCAAAAAAGACGCGUCGGUAGUUUGAUAAGUCGUUGUGUUUUUGUGUGAGGGCAGCAUAUUUUCAGUAUGCUGCUGUUCUAAAGUGAUAAUUUUAAUUUUCGACCCUCCGUUUACGCGUUUUAUUUUUUUUGAUUUCGCACCGGAUUUCGCGAAGAACUAUAAUUGACAGAUCGUGUUUGACUAACCAUGAAAAGCCCGAAGAAAAGACUGUCUGAACCUCCGAAAAAGUUGAUUGCUGUUGUAUCUCCCCAGAGAAGGAAAAGUGUGAAGGAACCCAUGGGUUUAGCACACAGUUCUUUCAGCGAUGAGGCUCUGAAGAAACCGGUAGCUGCCGCGGUUUCAUUGGCAGCUGGAAAAUCGACACCCACUAAAGCUGUCAUCAAAAGCACACCGAAAGCCAAAGCUUCUGCUGCAAAAAUCAAAUCCAUCGGAGAUGUUGCUAAAGUAACACCAGUGAAAACCACCCCUAUUAAGGCUGCACCACUAAAAUCCACACCAUCCAAAGCCACCCCUAAAGUUGUGCCAGUCAAGAAAACUCCAGCAAAAUCUGCUGUCAAAUCAACUCCAGCAAAAGCAACCCCCAAAAAGUUGUCGCAGCCAAAGCCUCUCCUGCAAAGGCUACACCAUCAAAAACUGUUCAAGCAAAACCUACUCCCGCUAAAAAAUCGCCUGUCAAAGCAACUCCGAGCAAGGUUGCUCCAGCCAAACCGACACCCAGUAAAGUGGUCGUUUCCAAAUCCGUUCCUACCAAAGCUGCUCGAAUGUCUACAAAAAUACCUGUUCCUAAACUUCUCUCAUGGGUAAACCCAGUGCUGUGUCAAGGAAGUCGCAGCCUGCCCCAGGUGUAAGCAAAGAAAAAGCAGUCACAAAAGUGACCCCUGUCAAAGCAGCCGUUGGGCCCAAGGUCAUCAGUCCUUUGGCCAAAAGCGCUAAGAAAGCCUCACCCAAGAAAUCUACUCCAAAAAAAUCAUCUCCCACAAAAUCGCCAUCCAAGUCGCCUCGACUUUCAUUCACACCUAAAAUAGCCCUUCGAUCCCCAGAUGUCGGCAAACCGUCUCCGAAAAGCUCGGCUAAAAAGGCAGUUCAACGAAAACCUCCGCAUCCAGCAGUCAAAGCUAUAUUAGAAGACGUUUUUUGGUCCCAAUAUUU